This is a long non-coding RNA of Phoenix dactylifera (date palm), 2431 nucleotides long. RefSeq lists it as uncharacterized. The record is from RefSeq and is a predicted model, not a curated record. Lineage: Eukaryota; Viridiplantae; Streptophyta; Magnoliopsida; Arecales; Arecaceae.
GAGAAUCCCGCCCGCUCCCUAAACCCUAAUUCGCUCCUGAUCCCCUGUAUUCGUCCGAACGCUCCAUCGCAUCUUCACUCUUCUUCCUCCUCCUCCUCUGCGUUUCUUCAGAUUCUUAUUUCCCUAAUCCAUGGAGAUGGACACCGCCUCUCUCUCGAAAUCCGAUCUCCCUACAAGGACUUAGCUUCGGCUCUACUUGGGAUCAGGUAACCGAUGCCAACCUAAACCUAAUCCUAACCCUAACCCUCGCGUUUUAUAAACCCGAAACCUAUCUUAACCCCAAUGACGAUCAAUCGAGGAGAACGAACAGCUACGACAGUGGACGGAGUAUAAAAGAAACCCCUCAUUUCUCGUGUUUCAAUAGAAAAUACGGACAGGAGGGAGGGAGGAAUUGAUCGAGGAUCUGCUGCUCAACAUAUCCCAUUACUUCUCAAAUACUUGAGGAGCUAGUUUGUACAUGUCCAUGUGGGGUUUUUCUUGUAUUUCUUGAUCUAUAUCGGUUUCUUCCUGAAAAUGGAAGUUAUCAGAGAAAGGAAGAAGAAAUAAAGGGUCUGAUUGUUCUCCAUUUGAAGUCUUUUAAGUGUUAUGUACCAAAUGACAUGUUCUAAAAAUAGUUAUUAAGCAAAUCUUAUUAGUUUCUUAUAAGAUGAAGACUUCUGUCAGUGAGUGAGAAGCACUUACUUGACUUUUGAUGGCUAAGCGUAUCUGAGCUUGCUAGUGAAGGAUUUGUAUGUUUUAGAGCACAGGUGAAUAUUUAGCCAUAUGAAAGGCUAGGUUUGGUAAAAUGAAAAAUUUAAGAAGGUUUCAUAUCCCUGAUCCUAUCCCCAUCCUUCUCUUUUCUUUUGACAGAGUUUUGAAUGAAGACCUGAAGAGAGAUAUAGAUUCCUUCUGAAAUGAUGGAAGAAUUCAGUUUUGAGAUUAAAAAAAAGCAAGGGCACUUAUUUUCUUAGAAAAUGUUAUAUCAUUAGCCCCUUCUCUUUAUUCUUCCCCUAAGUUUUGAUGACAGAAGUUCAAUUCUCACUCCAAGUUGAAGCUGCUUGCUCUCCACUGGACCAUCAGAUUGCAAGAAAAGUUCCAUCAAAAGACAGGUGGAAGAAAAGUUAAGAAGGCGUGCAAGAGGAUAGCCAAGCAAAUCCUGCUUGUCAAAUGCGUCAUCUCAUGAGCAGAGAAGGCGGAAGAGUUGGUCCUUGAUUGGAAUGGUUGAUGAGCACUUGAUCUAAUAUUUUUCUCUCUGCAUCCUAAAACAUCUAUGAUCUUACUUUGGGGAAGGUGGGAACCAAUCAUGAGGCGCUGUGGUUUCUCUUUCCAUCCUUGGCUUGGCCAAUGUCCAAGUACAAUUGAAAGCUUUUCGUUUUUAAAUAAAAUGGCUUGUCCAACGCCCAGAAGUAGUUUUGGCAUUGGUUCUAUGAUUUCUUGCUGCAAGCUCUGCCAGAUGUCUCCUGGCCUUCUCAUCCUCUUAUUUCGCCCUUCCAAGUAAGUUAGACCACAUGGCGUCUGAACUUUUGCUAAUUCUCCUGCAUAGCUUGCAGACAAAAUUAUCAAAUGAUUGCAUACGCAAGAUCAAGCCAUAUCUUGGCCCACAAACUCUUCGAAAGUUUGUGGUUUAACAUAAUGAACUCGGUCUUGGCCUUUUAUGUACCCCUCAAAUAAAGUUUUGAUGAAGCCGGAAGCCUUUCCAACCCCAUAUUUGGUGAUGACAUGUAAGCAUGACCUAUAGAUUCAUGGCUGGAUUUGUCAUGGAGAUUUAGCUGGCUUAAUAAAACCAGAUGACCACUUUUUGAUAAGAAAAUGCAAGCAUGACCAAUAGAGAUACUACUAGAUUUGUCUUGCAGAUUUAGUUUGCUUGCUGAAACAAGAAUGGCAAUUUUCGAUGAGAUAUUGCAAGGACAGAAAAUGGAUGUGCCACUAGUCUUUUUUUGUCUGGAUCUAAUUUAGUUAUAGAAACAAGAAUGCUGCAAUAUAUGCAUCCAAAAACAAGGUACGUACUUACCCCAAGCACUCAUUUGCUUCAUUUAUCAUUUGAUCCACAUUUGGACCUAGCAAAGUGGUGCGAAAUACAAGGGAAUUGCUGGGGUGACUGGUUUAAUGCCUCUAAACCAUGGCACCAUGUACUGCAUUACACUUACAGCUAGUUAAUCCGUGUCAAAUAUUAGUUCGGGUGAACUCUAUUGAUGUUCAUGGCAAUCAAGUGUUUUGAUUUUAAGGUGUAUUUGAAGUGGUCCUUUCUACAAUGUAAAUGGUUUUAAUCUAGUUGUGCAGGUUUAUGUGAUCACUAGGAGGUAUAUUGGGAGCACCAUCCAUGAAUCAAGCUUUGAUCCUGAUUGGAAAAAUGGAGGGCACAAGGACAAUGUUAACUGAAGAGAGGAAGAAAAUAGUGCGGCAUCCAUGCAUUCUCUAUAAAAUUUUCUAAAAGAAUCCCUCACGAGACAUC